Long non-coding RNA from Neopsephotus bourkii (Bourke's parrot), 237 nucleotides. RefSeq lists it as uncharacterized. The record is from RefSeq and is a predicted model, not a curated record. NCBI's taxonomy places the organism in Eukaryota, Metazoa, Chordata, Aves, Psittaciformes, Psittacidae. The transcript has 3 exons.
ACUUCACGAGAAAGGAAAAUAUACUCAUGACAGGGUUGAACUGAUUCCUCAUCUUACACAUUGAUGGCAGGAAAGAAACACCUUAGUCUGAAAACUGAAACUGGAGCAACCUGAGAGUCUUGGCGUGCUCUUCGAUCUACUGUUCUCUCCCUACCAUCUGUUAUACUGAGAAAUGGAUCUCGUCCAAAAGGAUCAGAAAAGCUUCUCAUCAUCUGCCGCAUAUAUUCAUGGUGUGCA